Molecule: ribosomal RNA, 465 nt
Filed under: uncultured bacterium
Lineage: Bacteria
Description: partial 16S ribosomal RNA
Rfam family: Bacterial small subunit ribosomal RNA
Source: RNAcentral
CUACGGGGGGCAGCAGUGGGGAAUAUUGGACAAUGGGGGAAACCCUGAUCCAGCAAUGCCGCGUGUGUGAAGAAGGCCUGCGGGUUGUAAAGCACUUUCGGUUGGGAGGACUGCUUCUAGCACUAAUAUUGUUGGAAGUUGACGUUACCUUCAGAAGAAGCACCGGCUAACUCCGUGCCAGCAGCCGCGGGAAUACGGAGGGUGCAAGCGUUAAUCGGAAUUACUGGGCGUAAAGCGCGCGUAGGCGGCUAGAUCAGUCGGGUGUGAAAGCCCUGGGCUUAACCUGGGAACUGCAUCCGAUACUGUCUAGCUUGAAUACAGGAGAGGAGAGUGGAAUUCCACAUGUAGCGGUGAAAUGCGUAGAUAUGUGGAGGAACACCAAUGGCGAAGGCAGCUCUCUGGCCUGAUACUGACGCUGAGGUGCGAAAGCGUGGGGAGCAAACAGGAUUAGAUACCCCUGUAGUC